Molecule: ribosomal RNA, 471 nt
Filed under: uncultured bacterium
Lineage: Bacteria
Description: bacterial SSU rRNA
Rfam family: Bacterial small subunit ribosomal RNA
Source: RNAcentral
GAUCAUGGCUCAGGAUGAACGCUGGCGGUAUGCCUAACACAUGCAAGUCGUACGAGAGUUUUUUAACUCUAGUGGCGGACGGGUGAGUAACACGUGAGAAUUUGCCUUUAGGAGGGGGAUAACAAUUGGAAACGAAUGCUAAUACCCCAUAUGCUUUUGAGUGAAAUGGAUUUUAUCCGCCUAGAGAGAAGCUCGCGGCUGAUUAGCUUGUUGGUAAGGUAAGAGCUUACCAAGGCGACGAUCAGUAUCUGGUUUGAGAGGACGAUCAGACACACUGGAACUGAGACACGGACCAGACUCCUACGGGAGGCAGCAGUGAGGAAUAUUGGACAAUGGGCGCAAGCCUGAUCCAGCCAUGCCGCGUGCAGGAAGAAGCAUCUAUGGUGUGUAAACUGCUUUUGUACGGGAAGAAACACUCCUUCGUGAAGGAGCUUGACGGUACCGUAAGAAUAAGGAUCGGCUAACUCCGUG